GUUAAAAAGCUCGUAGUUGGAUUUCUGUUGUGGUGAGUCGGCCGGCUCUUCGGAGUUGUAGCUAGAUUUCAUUGCAGCAUCUUGUCGUAAUCUCCACUGGCAUUCAUUUGUUGGUGUGAGGGACCGACUCGUUUACUUUGAGAAAAUUAGGAUGUUCAAAGUGGGCUAUCGCCUUGAAUAUAUUAGCAUGGAAUAAUAAUAUAGGACUUUUGGUUCUAUUUUGUUGGUGUUCGAGAACCAAAGUAAUGAUUGAUAGGGACGGUUGGGGGCAUCAGUAUUCUGAAGCGAGAGGUGAAAUUCUUGGACCUUCGGAAGACUAACAGCUGCGAAAGCGUUUGCCUAGGAUGUUCUCUUUAAUCAAGAACGAAGGUUGGGGGAUCGAAGACGAUCAGAUACCGUCGUAGUCUCAACUAUAAACUAUGCCAGCUAGGGAUGGGUGGAUGUUUAAUUACGACUCCAUCCGCACCUUAUGAGAAAUCAAAGCAUUUGGGUUCCGGGGGGAGUAUGGUCGCAAGGCUGAAACUUAAAGGAAUUGACGGGAGGGCACCACCAGGAGUGGAGCCCGUGGCUUAAUUUGACUC
This 581-nucleotide ribosomal RNA is filed under the name uncultured marine eukaryote. RNAcentral's name for it is "SSU rRNA". It matches the Rfam family "Eukaryotic small subunit ribosomal RNA", at positions 618 to 1201 of the family's 1831-position model. The record is from RNAcentral.